CCUACGGGGGGCAGCAGUGGGGAAUCUUGCGCAAUGGGCGAAAGCCUGACGCAGCAACGCCGCGUGAACGAUGAAGGCCUUCGGGUCGUAAAGUUCUGUCAGGGGGGACGAAAUUUGACGGUACCCCCAGAGGAAGCCCCGGCUAACUACGUGCCAGCAGCCGCGGUAACACGUAGGGGGCGAGCGUUGUCCGGAAUUACUGGGCGUAAAGGGCGUGUAGGCGGCCGAUCAAGUCAGGUGUGAAAAUCCAGGGCUCAACCCUGGACGUGCACUUGAAACUGGUUGGCUUGAGUGCAGGAGAGGAAAGUGGAAUUCCCAGUGUAGCGGUGAAAUGCGUAGAUAUUGGGAGGAACACCAGUGGCGAAGGCGACUUUCUGGCCUGUAACUGACGCUGAGGCGCGAAAGCUAGGGGAGCAAACAGGAUUAGAUACCCGUGUAGUC
RNAcentral lists this ribosomal RNA (441 nucleotides) under uncultured Dethiobacter sp. RNAcentral's name for it is "bacterial SSU rRNA". It matches the Rfam family "Bacterial small subunit ribosomal RNA", at positions 338 to 795 of the family's 1533-position model. Lineage: Bacteria; Bacillati; Bacillota; Dethiobacteria; Dethiobacterales; Dethiobacteraceae. The record is from RNAcentral.